CCCUGGUAGUCCACGCCGUAAACGAUGUCUACUUGGAGGUUGUGCCCUUGAGGCGUGGCUUCCGGAGCUAACGCGUUAAGUAGACCGCCUGGGGAGUACGGCCGCAAGGUUAAAACUCAAAUGAAUUGACGGGGGCCCGCACAAGCGGUGGAGCAUGUGGUUUAAUUCGAUGCAACGCGAAGAACCUUACCUGGUCUUGACAUCCACAGAAGAAUCCAGAGAUGGAUUUGUGCCUUCGGGAACUGUGAGACAGGUGCUGCAUGGCUGUCGUCAGCUCGUGUUGUGAAAUGUUGGGUUAAGUCCCGCAACGAGCGCAAC
Molecule: ribosomal RNA, 318 nt
Filed under: Salmonella enterica subsp. enterica serovar Dublin
Lineage: Bacteria; Pseudomonadati; Pseudomonadota; Gammaproteobacteria; Enterobacterales; Enterobacteriaceae
Description: bacterial SSU rRNA
Rfam family: Bacterial small subunit ribosomal RNA
Source: RNAcentral